This is a long non-coding RNA of Cygnus olor (mute swan), 889 nucleotides long. RefSeq lists it as uncharacterized. The transcript has 4 exons. The record is from RefSeq and is a predicted model, not a curated record. Lineage: Eukaryota; Metazoa; Chordata; Aves; Anseriformes; Anatidae.
AACUAAAGUAUUAAACAUCCAAGUUAAGUUUUUGAAAGUUGUCUAGAAAAAAUACAGAUGUGUACACAUAGGUCAUUUGCAUGGUUGGUGACAAUACAGACUAACACUUUUGUAUCUUGUAUCUUCAUUCAAGGUACAUGAAAACUUUAAGUACAUGUAGAAGAAUACUCAAGCAAUAGUCUAGGAGUAAAUAUUUAACACACUCAAGCUCCUUGCACGUGAGAGCGUGUAUCUUUUUUAUUUGAAGUGCACCAUGCACACACACACCUAAAGCAAACUGAAAAUAACCACCAUCAUUUGCCCUGUAGUAUGUAUGGCCAGUACUCACCAAAAUGAUUGGUUAUAUGCAAAAAUUAAGGGAGUGGGCAGGCUGGGAAGAAAUGGACAAUGAAUUUUAUGUCUUGAAGUUCAAGGUUAAAGUGAGCUCAAUUCACUAACACUCUAAAGCUUCAUAAACAGUCUAGAGAAAAGGGGGCACAUUACCUAGAUAAAGUGGUCUGCCUGGCACGUGGAAUUCAACAUAAACAUACAAAAGGCAGGCAUUAAAAAAAAAAAAGUAGCUUUGGGAGCAGAGUGCAGUUUGGAGUCACACCCUGAGUUCUAAAGUCAGCAGAAGUACAAAACCCCAUGCUGACACCCACAUGGGGGUCGCCUCCCCGCACCCUCCACAGUACCAAAACCAACCCCUGCUCACAGAGGUCACCACCAAAGCCACACACACUCCAUACAAAGCAGCUCAUUGUAACCAAAAGCUUCCCAGAGCUGGUUAGUGCUGAAAUACAAUGAAGGUGGUGUAAGACAUGAACUAGUUAAGGCAGCAUUUUUUUCACAGGAGAACAGGGGACCUUAUUUGCAAGGGAGCAGGAUUUUAUGUGUCAAGCAUUUAAAA